Molecule: ribosomal RNA, 495 nt
Filed under: Lactiplantibacillus plantarum
Lineage: Bacteria; Bacillati; Bacillota; Bacilli; Lactobacillales; Lactobacillaceae
Description: bacterial SSU rRNA
Rfam family: Bacterial small subunit ribosomal RNA
Source: RNAcentral
CCUGCCCAGAAGCGGGGGAUAACACCUGGAAACAGAUGCUAAUACCGCAUAACAACUUGGACCGCAUGGUCCGAGCUUGAAAGAUGGCUUCGGCUAUCACUUUUGGAUGGUCCCGCGGCGUAUUAGCUAGAUGGUGGGGUAACGGCUCACCAUGGCAAUGAUACGUAGCCGACCUGAGAGGGUAAUCGGCCACAUUGGGACUGAGACACGGCCCAAACUCCUACGGGAGGCAGCAGUAGGGAAUCUUCCACAAUGGACGAAAGUCUGAUGGAGCAACGCCGCGUGAGUGAAGAAGGGUUUCGGCUCGUAAAACUCUGUUGUUAAAGAAGAACAUAUCUGAGAGUAACUGUUCAGGUAUUGACGGUAUUUAACCAGAAAGCCACGGCUAACUACGUGCCAGCAGCCGCGGUAAUACGUAGGUGGCAAGCGUUGUCCGGAUUUAUUGGGCGUAAAGCGAGCGCAGGCGGUUUUUUAAGUCUGAUGUGAAAGCCUUCG